RNAcentral lists this ribosomal RNA (819 nucleotides) under uncultured bacterium. RNAcentral describes it as "bacterial SSU rRNA". It matches the Rfam family "Bacterial small subunit ribosomal RNA", at positions 34 to 853 of the family's 1533-position model. The record is from RNAcentral.
CGCUAGCGGCAGGCCUAAUACAUGCAAGUCGAACGGGAUUGAGAAGCUUGCUUUUCAUGAGAGUGGCGCACGGGUGCGUAACACGUAUGUAACCUACCUUAAUCUGGGGGAUAGCCUCUCGAAAGAGAGAUUAAUACCGCAUAACAUUAUCGGAUAGCAUUUUUUGAUAAUCAAAUAUUUAUAGGAUUAAGAUGGGCAUGCGGAACAUUAGCUAGUUGGUAAGGUAAUGGCUUACCAAGGCUACGAUGUUUAGGGGAUCUGAGAGGAUGACCCCCCACACUGGUACUGAGACACGGACCAGACUCCUACGGGAGGCAGCAGUAAGGAAUAUUGGUCAAUGGGCGCAAGCCUGAACCAGCCAUGCCGCGUGCAGGAAGACGGCCCUACGGGUUGUAAACUUCUUUUGUAUGGGAAAAAACCUCUUUACGUGUAAAGAGCUGAUGGUACCAUACGAAUAAGGAUCGGCUAACUCCGUGCCAGCAGCCGCGGUAAUACGGAGGAUCCAAGCGUUAUCCGGAUUCAUUGGGUUUAAAGGGUGCGUAGGCGGAAUGAUAAGUCAGUGGUGAAAUCCUGCAGCUUAACUGCAGAACUGCCAUUGAUACUGUCAAUCUUGAGUACAUUUGAUGUGGGCGGAAUGUGUCAUGUAGCGGUGAAAUGCUUAGAUAUGACACAGAACACCGAUUGCGAAGGCAGCUCACAAAACUGUAACUGACGCUGAGGCACGAAAGCGUGGGUAUCAAACAGGAUUAGAUACCCUGGUAGUCCACGCUGUAAACUAUGAUUACUCGAUGUUUGCGAUACACUGUAAGCGUUUAAGCG